Saccostrea cuccullata (small rock oyster) is the source of this 614-nucleotide long non-coding RNA. RefSeq lists it as uncharacterized. The record is from RefSeq and is a predicted model, not a curated record. Lineage: Eukaryota; Metazoa; Mollusca; Bivalvia; Ostreida; Ostreidae. The transcript is spliced from 3 exons.
AAAAUUGCAAUUUCAAUAAUAUAUCUCAAUAGUAAUUUAAAUUUACAUCAAUUUCAAAAGAAUUUGUUAGCAUUAACUUAUGUUAAGUUCUACUCUGUUUAACACCCCCCCCCCCUUUCCCUUAUAAAAAAAAUACCUUUCACAAUUUUCUUUUUCAGAAAUAAUGCAUAUCCCAGACAAAAUUGAUAAAGAAUAAAUUAAUUUGCUUUUUAUUUCAAAUCUUUUGGGUUUGGGUUUAUUACUUGAGUAAAAAAAAAAUCCGUAUUUUUCCCGGACCGGUUUUUACUUUUAUCGGAUCAAAGUGUACUUCAUGUUUGACGUCACUGCUGCAGCAGAAGUGCUGGGUGUUGGAAAAAUCCAAGAAGCCCAAAGCUGAUAAGACUGGCGAUUGAUUCAAAAGCUGAUUGUGACAGACGAUUGCAUCAUCACAAUAUUAAAGAGACCAUUCUGUGCCACAAAGAAAUUGUUCAGGAAGGGGAGAACUGGUGGAUUUGCAUUUUUGGUACAGUUCAAAGAGAUUUUCAGAAUGGUCAAAUCAGAGGGAGGACGAAACUGAACAUAUUGAAAAGAUACAGAAGGAAAAAGAACCUGGAAAUAUAUGGAAUAAUUAUGAA